CGGGAAUAUUGCGCAAUGGAGGAAACUCUGACGCAGUGACGCCGCGUAUAGGAAGAAGGUUUUCGGAUUGUAAACUAUUGUCGUUAGGGAAGAGAAAGGACAGUACCUAAGGAGGAAGCUCCGGCUAACUACGUGCCAGCAGCCGCGGUAAUACGUAGGGAGCGCGCGUUAUCCGGAAUUAUUGGGUGUAAAGGGUGCGUAGACGGGAAGAUAAGUUAGUUGUGAAAUCCCUCGGCUUAACUGAGGAACUGCAACUAAAACUGUUUUUCUUGAGUGCAGGAGAGGUAAGUGGAAUUCCUAGUGUAGCGGUGAAAUGCGUAGAUAUUAGGAGGAACACCAGUGGCGAAGGCGACUUACUGGACUGUAACUGACGUUGAGGCACGAAAGUGUGGGGAGCAAAC
This 401-nucleotide ribosomal RNA is filed under the name uncultured bacterium. RNAcentral describes it as "bacterial SSU rRNA". It matches the Rfam family "Bacterial small subunit ribosomal RNA", at positions 356 to 773 of the family's 1533-position model. The record is from RNAcentral.